RNAcentral lists this ribosomal RNA (249 nucleotides) under uncultured Gaiellales bacterium. Its description in RNAcentral is "partial 16S ribosomal RNA". It matches the Rfam family "Bacterial small subunit ribosomal RNA", at positions 355 to 597 of the family's 1533-position model. Lineage: Bacteria; Bacillati; Actinomycetota; Thermoleophilia; Gaiellales. The record is from RNAcentral.
UGGGGAAUCUUGCGCAAUGGGCGGAAGCCUGACGCAGCAACGCCGCGUGCGGGAAGAAGGCCUUAGGGUCGUAAACCGCUUUCAGGGGGGACGAAGCUUCCGGGGUUAAUAGCCUACGGGGUGACGAUACUCCCAAAAGAAGGUCCGGCUAACUACGUGCCAGCAGCCGCGGUAAUACGUAGGGACCGAGCGUUGUCCGGAAUCAUUGGGCGUAAAGAGCGUGUAGGCGGCUUGGUAGGUCUCGUGUGA